RNAcentral lists this transfer RNA (73 nucleotides) under Microcaldota archaeon. RNAcentral's name for it is "tRNA-Gly". It matches the Rfam family "tRNA". Rfam says of the family: Transfer RNA (tRNA) molecules are approximately 80 nucleotides in length. Their secondary structure includes four short double-helical elements and three loops (D, anti-codon, and T loops). Lineage: Archaea; Nanobdellati; Microcaldota. The record is from RNAcentral.
GCGCCAGUAGUCUAGCCUGGUAGGACUUUGCCUUCCCAAGGCAAUAACCCGGGUUCAAAUCCCGGCUGGCGCA